Molecule: ribosomal RNA, 393 nt
Filed under: uncultured bacterium
Lineage: Bacteria
Description: partial 16S ribosomal RNA
Rfam family: Bacterial small subunit ribosomal RNA
Source: RNAcentral
AUACGGAGGAUGCAAGCGUUAUCCGGAUUUAUUGGGUUUAAAGGGUGCGUAGGCGGUUUGCUAAGCGGGAGGUGAAAUGCCGGCGCUCAACGUCGGAAGUGCCUCCCGAACUGGGGGACUGGAAUGACUCUGCCGUGGGAGGAAUGUGUAGUGUAGCGGUGAAAUGCUUAGAGAUUACACAGAACACCGUUUGCGAAGGCAUCUCACGAAGGGUUGAUUGACGCUGAGGCACGAAAGCGUGGGGAUCAAACAGGAUUAGAUACCCUGGUAGUCCACGCAGUAAACGAUGAUGGCUAACCGCUGGGCUUAUCAGUUCAGUGGCCAAGCGAAAGCGAUAAGCCAUCCACCUGGGGAGUACGACCGCAAGGUUGAAACUCAAAGGAAUUGACGGGG